RNAcentral lists this long non-coding RNA (2623 nucleotides) under Daucus carota (carrot). Its description in RNAcentral is "long non-coding RNA (DCAR_LNC004404)". The record is from RNAcentral. Lineage: Eukaryota; Viridiplantae; Streptophyta; Magnoliopsida; Apiales; Apiaceae.
CGGUUUGGCCAGUUUGGAGCAGGCAUUGCCAAGAGGCCAAUCUCCGCGCUUAGACACCAAACCUUAAUCGGCCAGGUAAGCUUUCGCUUGCCUUAGACACCGAAGAGUCGGAAUAAUUAAAGAUUACCUCGUCUUUUAGGUACCUUCCUAAUUGAGCGCCAAAUCCUAGGGGCUAACGUCUAAUUCAUUUUAUUAAAAGGCUAAGGAAAUGCAAAAUGUGGAAAUUAAGUUGUUGUGGGCCAAGGAAAGAGUGAUGAAAUCCCUUCCCUUAUCUUGUGAGUGGGUUUUGCCCUUAAGAUUUAUUUAAAAUGAUGCUCCACACAACGAGAUAAUUAAAGCGGUAAACAACUAUGGAUGCUCAAACUACGUGUUUUAAUCUAAAGAAAAGAAAUUAACGUACCUUUGGGUCCUCCAGCGAUCACCACAAUUAUAGGUACGAAAAUUUAAAAACAAAAAUUAAAAUCUAAAUGAUGUGCCCCUAAGUGUUUAAAUGCAUGAUGCAACAAAUAUGUAUUUCUAACUAAUAUUUUUGGAUUUUAAAAUUUUUUAUUUGUUUGUGAUUUUCCAAUUUUCAGAUUUGUUUGUGGUUUUCUAAAUAAAAACGAAAAAUAAGAGUGGAGAGAUACGGGAUACCAAAGCAAGCUUCCAAAUCCGAGCAAAAUUUAUCCACUUUACUCCAUGAUUCCCGAAUAAUCCUCCUCGAAAUAAAAACAAAAAUAGUGAGAAACAAACUAAUCCGAAAGAUUAAAAAUAAAGGAGCGAAAAAUUAAUUUUAAUCCCCCUAUGAUGUGCUCGAAAAGAGAUUUUAAAAAUAAUCGCAAGCGCACGAUCGUCGUUUUAAUACUUUAAUGAUUCGUCCACAGAGAUUAAAUUUUAAUUAUCGCAACUUAUUAUUUUUAAUCUAGGCGGAAUAGAACAAUUUUUAAUUAAUAAGUGAGAAAGUGAUUAACUCGAAAAUUACCAAAUUUACAAAGAAAUAUAGUUAAACUACGCAAUUAUCACUUAAUUGAUUUAUCUAAUUAAAUCACCAACUACAACCUUCUAAUUAAUUAAACAAAGUAACCUAGUGACUUGGUGAUUACUCGGCUAAAACCAAAGAAACUAAAAAGAAACACAUGAACGAAAAGAAACAAAAACAGGCCCAUACAGCUCAGCAAAACAAAAUGAUCCAACCAAUCGACUCAAAACACCAGGACUCGACUUAAAACACAGCCAAAUCCCACCAGCAUUUCACCGAAAACAAUAAAAACCAACAAACUAACAAAGUUUGAAAACCAGAAUACUAACAAAAGAAAACAAGACUCGAUUCUAACCCAAACAAACAAAACGAACACGAACUCAGCCUAUACGAAACCACAGUACUCAGUGCAGGACAGAACCCAGACUCGAUAACUCGGCAUAGCACACAGACUCAGUACCAAAGAAAUUAAAAACUAAACUAUCAAACUCAACCGAAAGAAACCCAGCAACUCAUCAAAUAGAACAAACUCGGUUGAAUCAAAACAGCGACUCAGCAAAAGAGAAGAAAACAGAACUCAGAAAUCAGAACGAAAACGCAGCAAAACAAAAGCUUAAAACUAAACCCAGAGACUCGAACACAGCAAAGGACUGGACUCAGAAAACUCAAACAAAGUAACUAACUGGACACAAAACUAAGCUGUAUAAACUUAGCGAAAAAGAACUCAGCGAUUUGAACAAAAACCAUGAAAAACAACGCAGCAAAAAUCAACUAGACUCAGUACUCAACAAAACCAAACAGAAAAGCGAAGCACAACACUAUCAACUACAAAACGAGCUCAUCAGCAGAACAAGCAAGCAAAAACCCAAACAAAAACUCGAAAUCGCAGGGGCUAAACACAACACGCAAAACUCAGCCAAUGACUAGGCUAAUCGAUCAAAACAGAGGAAACGAUUCGGUAAUAGCAGACUAGAAACGAACUGACUCACUAACAAGCAACUGAACUCGAACCAGCUAGUGACUCGGCAACUCGGAAGCACGACUCGGUUUUUGACUCAGUACAAAACCCAGCUGAGCAGAACUCGGUGGGUUCUGGUUUUAAAACUAAGAACAGCAAAAUGGGUUGUUUCAACAAAACUAAGAAAAGGGGGUUUCGGCUGUUUUUUUUUUAAGAAAUGAAAUCAGAGAAAAGACACGGCAAGUGUUAGUGAAUAACACAAAAUGGAAAAAUCCAGGAACAGGGGAGUUGGUUUUUGGGGUUUUAAACGAAACUUUUCUAACACAACAAUACAGAGCACUCGAUUGGUGCAAUUAUAAUAAAAACCGUGUAUAUACUGCCUUAAUUGGAAUGCAACAUUAACAUUAAAUAAUGUGUAAAAUCUGAAUGUUCAAGUUAAACCCCCACACAAAUUAUUUUUGUGUUAGGAUUUAAAAGAGCUUUAACAACUAAUUUAAGCAAUCAUAAAAUCUACACUAAUUUAGAGGGCAUCUCCCAUUCCCAAAAGCCCUUAGGCAUAUGGUGGUACUAAGAAGAAAAUGCCACAAGAAGCAAGAAAAUAGAGACAAUACAAGAUCAAGCUAAAAGAAAAUUUGCACUAAAAUAAAAAGUGUUUACAAAUAUGGUAUGAAAUUGAGAGAGCAAAAGAAGAUCUAGCACUAUACUAC